This 277-nucleotide ribosomal RNA is filed under the name uncultured bacterium. Its description in RNAcentral is "partial 16S ribosomal RNA". It matches the Rfam family "Bacterial small subunit ribosomal RNA", at positions 29 to 293 of the family's 1533-position model. The record is from RNAcentral.
AACGAACGUUAGCGGCGCGCUUAACACAUGCAAGUCGUGCGAGAAAGGGGCAACCCCGGUAAAGCGGCGCACGGGUGAGUAACACGUAGGUAAUCUGCCUCCAGGUGGUGGAUAACCUUCCGAAAGGAGGGCUAAUACAGCAUGAGACCACGAGCCCGCAAGGGAUUGAGGUCAAAGCCGGCCUCUUCAUGAAAGCUGGCGCCAGGAGAUGAGCCUGCGGCCCAUCAGCUAGUUGGUAGGGUAACGGCCUACCAAGGCGAAGACGGGUAGCUGGUCU